UAUUUACAAUUUUCUAUUCCCAAAAUUAUUGACUACAUUUCCGCCCCGAGGAAUAUCUUGUACUCUGGGGUGAGUGUGUGAUGUCUCCAGGCUAAAAGUAAGUUUGUUUUCCUUUUUUUACGAGGUUUCGCAACAACAGAGGUCAUAUCAACCCUCAGGAUGCUUGUGUUUUUGAAAAAAAUCCCAUUUGUAAGUACGUCGAGUUCGGAUGCUGGAUUCGAACCCGGGACCUUUACCUUACAGUGAUGAGCGCCGUGUCAACGCCUAAACCGUUGCGGUCAUCGAUGCCCCAAAAGUAAGUUAUUAGUGAGAAGGGAAUGGGUCACGAGGAAUAUCGAGUACUCUGGAGGAGUGAAUGUGACCAGACAUGAUAACAUAUAUAAAAGCAAAGAGUCUCAGCAACCAGAUUUAGACGAUCAGUUGGCUCCACUUUAAAACAAGAUGCUCGUGAAUGACCAGAAAAAGAAGAAAACCCCGCAAAGGGUUUGUGUCUGUUGUGUUGGAGUUUGGUUGCUUCCACAUGCUCGUGUUGGCUAAAGCCAUUCUGAAGUUUUGCGGCAAACCUUUGUAUUCCGAGAUGACUUCACGGAUCUCAAGACCCCAAUCUAUCGAUGUAAUAAGGAGAAGAGUUCAGCAGAUGUGAAAUGAUUCAAAGCAAGAGAAUCUCUAUGCAACAUCUUAAGACCAACAAUAUCACUUUUUCAUGAGCGACCUGCCACAAUUCACAAACAUAAAAUCACAUUGACGGAUAUUUCAAUCAAAAACUGCCACAACGUGACAAGAAGUUGAAUCAACCUGACAGAGUGAAUUGCCAUAAAUAACCGUUUUCAA
This is a long non-coding RNA of Cimex lectularius (bed bug), 831 nucleotides long. RefSeq lists it as uncharacterized. The record is from RefSeq and is a predicted model, not a curated record. The transcript has 4 exons. Lineage: Eukaryota; Metazoa; Arthropoda; Insecta; Hemiptera; Cimicidae.